RNAcentral lists this ribosomal RNA (464 nucleotides) under uncultured bacterium. Its description in RNAcentral is "bacterial SSU rRNA". It matches the Rfam family "Bacterial small subunit ribosomal RNA", at positions 1 to 507 of the family's 1533-position model. The record is from RNAcentral.
CAGUAGUCACGAGUUUGAUCAUGGCUCAGGAUGAACGCUAGCGGCAGGCUUAACACAUGCAAGUCGAACGAGACCUUCGGGUCUAGUGGGCGCACGGGUGCGUAACACGUGGGAAUUUGCCUCGGGGUAUGGAAUAACUCAGGGAAACUUGAGCUAAUACCAUAUAAUGUCUUCGGACCAAAGAUUUAUCGCCCUGAGAUAAGCCCGCGUAGGAUUAGCUAGUUGGUGGGGUAAAGGCUCACCAAGGCGACGAUCCUUAGCUGGUCUGAGAGGAUGAUCAGCCACACUGGGACUGAGACACGGCCCAGACUCCUACGGGAGGCAGCAGUGGGGGAAUAUUGGACAAUGGGCGAAAGCCUGAUCCAGCAAUGCCGCGUGAGUGAUGAAGGCCUUCGGGUUGUAAAGCUCUUUUACUCGGGACGAUAAUGACGGUACCGAGAGAAUAAGCCCCGGCUAACUCCGUG